UCCGUAGGCGGAUCCGUAAGUCAGUGGUGAAAUCUCAUAGCUUAACUAUGAAACUGCCAUUGAUACUGCGGGUCUUGAGUAAGGUAGAAGUAGCUGGAAUAAGUAGUGUAGCGGUGAAAUGCAUAGAUAUUACUUAGAACACCAAUUGCGAAGGCAGGUUACUAUGUCUUAACUGACGCUGAUGGACGAAAGCGUGGGGAGCGAACAGGAUUAGAUACCCCCGUA
This 225-nucleotide ribosomal RNA is filed under the name uncultured Chryseobacterium sp. RNAcentral's name for it is "partial 16S ribosomal RNA". It matches the Rfam family "Bacterial small subunit ribosomal RNA", at positions 568 to 792 of the family's 1533-position model. The record is from RNAcentral. Lineage: Bacteria; Pseudomonadati; Bacteroidota; Flavobacteriia; Flavobacteriales; Weeksellaceae.